AGGCCGGGAAAGCGUGUCAUGUUGCAAG
This 28-nucleotide small RNA is filed under the name Bombyx mori (domestic silkworm). RNAcentral's name for it is "ovarian small RNA-12199". The record is from RNAcentral. Lineage: Eukaryota; Metazoa; Arthropoda; Insecta; Lepidoptera; Bombycidae.